UCAGUUGUUGUUUGUUCUAUUUUACAGUUUUAAAUGCGGUAUGAUGUCUGAUGUUUUUAUUUCAUAGUUUCGUGUGCAUGUAUCACUGUUUCAUUGAUUAUAGACUGAAUGACUGAGAACCCGAUAUUGUGUGUUAUCUUGUUGGCAUGAACUACCGGUUUGCAUGUUUGUGUGUGAUUUGAUGAUGCUGACUGAGGAAAAAGGGGGAUGAAAUGUUAUGUAAAUUGAUAAUUGUAUAAUGUGGUUAGCCUGACUAGAUAUCCUGAGAGAUGGUGGACGGACCGGGUCCGUAGGGAACCCUACCGGGACUGUGGUCUCUCAUACCGGACGGGGUAUGG
Molecule: long non-coding RNA, 338 nt
Filed under: Carica papaya (papaya)
Lineage: Eukaryota; Viridiplantae; Streptophyta; Magnoliopsida; Brassicales; Caricaceae
Description: long non-coding RNA (CPAP_LNC014467)
Source: RNAcentral